GGGGGGAGAGGCGAGAGGACAAAAGUGGUUGAAAGAGGAGUGAGAGAAAGUGAAGAAGAAGCAGAAUAGUGGCAGAUGUCCCCACGAAUUAAGACAGAUCACAAGUUAUAUAAUUGGAGUGUACUGCUCGAAUUCCACACGAGGGGGCCUCUCUUUAUUUACUUACAUAGUUACAUCUAUCGCUCUUCUUGUAUCUUCCUUGCACUGUUUUUUUUUUUUUUGCUUAAAACCUCAAACUAUUAUUUAAACCUUGAUGUUGAAUGGACUAUCCGAAGUAGCUCGUUUUAUAGGUUUUAUUGUCAUGCUAUAUCAAGCUAAAGUUGAUUUUGAUGACGAAUUUUGAAAUUCGAUGGAUGUCCUCGAUUGAGAAUGUACCGAUGACUUGCUUUCUUAUCAACUGAAUUUAAUUGAUUAUUACCAAAUUUAUGUCAAAUUACAAUUUUCUAUUCGGAACCUUUUAAAUUUACAUAUGUUGUAAUAUUUUUCAACACGAUAACUAGUCAACUACUUUGAAUAGUUACGGAAUAAAUUUACAUAUGAUUUGUAUAGACAUGUGUGCUAAAUAUCAACCUAUAAUAGUAUGACG
This 586-nucleotide long non-coding RNA is filed under the name Brassica rapa (field mustard). RNAcentral describes it as "long non-coding RNA (BRAP_LNC002282)". Lineage: Eukaryota; Viridiplantae; Streptophyta; Magnoliopsida; Brassicales; Brassicaceae. The record is from RNAcentral.